This 466-nucleotide ribosomal RNA is filed under the name uncultured bacterium. RNAcentral describes it as "bacterial SSU rRNA". It matches the Rfam family "Bacterial small subunit ribosomal RNA", at positions 338 to 796 of the family's 1533-position model. The record is from RNAcentral.
CCUACGGGGGGCAGCAGUAGGGAAUCUUCGGCAAUGGACGAAAGUCUGACCGAGCAACGCCGCGUGAGUGAAGAAGGUUUUCGGAUCGUAAAACUCUGUUGUUAGAGAAGAACAAGGACGUUAGUAACUGAACGUCCCCUGACGGUAUCUAACCAGAAAGCCACAGCUAACUACGUGCCAGCAGCCGCGGUAAUACGUAGGUGGCAAGCGUUGUCCGGAUUUAUUGGGCGUAAAGCGAGCGCAGGCGGUUUCUUAAGUCUGAUGUGAAAGCCCCCGGCUCAACCGGGGAGGGUCAUUGGAAACUGGGAGACUUGAGUGCAGAAGAGGAAAGUGGAAUUCCAUGUGUAGCGGUGAAAUGCGCAGAGAUAUGGAGGAACACCAGUGGCGAAGGCGACUUUCUGGUCUGUAACUGACGCUGAUGUGCGAAAGCGUGGGGAUCAAACAGGAUUAGAUACCCGGGUAGGUC